This 880-nucleotide ribosomal RNA is filed under the name Russula lilacea. Its description in RNAcentral is "eukaryotic LSU rRNA". It matches the Rfam family "Eukaryotic large subunit ribosomal RNA", at positions 74 to 931 of the family's 3401-position model. The record is from RNAcentral. Lineage: Eukaryota; Fungi; Basidiomycota; Agaricomycetes; Russulales; Russulaceae.
AUUCCCCUAGUAACUGCGAGUGAAGCGGGAAAAGCUCAAAUUUAAAAUCUGAUGGUCUUUGGCCAUCCGAGUUGUAAUUUAGAGAAGCGUCUUCCGCGCUGGACCGUGCACAAGUCUCCUGGAAUGGAGCGUCAUAGAGGGUGAGAAUCCCGUCUUUGGCACGGAUGCACCGGUGCUUUUGUGAUGCGCUCUCGAAGAGUCGAGUUGUUUGGGAAUGCAGCUCAAAAUGGGUGGUGAACUCCAUCUAAAGCUAAAUAUUGGCGAGAGACCGAUAGCGAACAAGUACCGUGAGGGAAAGAUGAAAAGCACUUUGGAAAGAGAGUGAAACAGUACGUGAAAUUGUUGAAAGGGAAACGCUUGAAGUCAGUCGCGUCGACCGAGACUCAGCCUCGCCUCGGCUUGGUGUAAUUCUCGGCUGACGGGUCAGCAUCAAUUUUGCCCCUUGGAUAAUGGCGAGGGAAAUGUGACACCUUUAUGGUGUGUUAUAGUCUCUCGUCGCAUGCAAGGGUCGGGAUUGAGGAACUCAGCACGCGCCUUCGGGCGUCGGGGUUUUUGCCCACGAUACGUGCUUAGGAUGUUGGCGUAAUGGCUUUAAACGACCCGUCUUGAAACACGGACCAAGGAGUCUAACAUGCCCGCGAGUGUUCGGGUGGAAAACCCGUGCGCGCAAUGAAAGUGAAAGUUGGGACCUCUGUCGUGGAGGGCACCGACGCCCGGACCAGACCUUCUGUGACGGCUCUGCGGUAGAGCGUGCAUGUUAGGACCCGAAAGAUGGUGAACUAUGCCUGAAUAGGGUGAAGCCAGAGGAAACUCUGGUGGAGGCUCGUAGCGAUUCUGACGUGCAAAUCGAUCGUCAAAUUUGGGUAUAGGGGCGAAAGAC